RNAcentral lists this long non-coding RNA (776 nucleotides) under Panax ginseng (ginseng). RNAcentral describes it as "long non-coding RNA (PGIN_LNC019283)". The record is from RNAcentral. Lineage: Eukaryota; Viridiplantae; Streptophyta; Magnoliopsida; Apiales; Araliaceae.
UUGUGUGACGUUGCCUGCAACUUGUUUUUUGGCACAUUUUUUUCACAUAACAUUAAAAUUAAAAUUAAAAGGCCAAAAAAAAAAAUCAGUCUACCUACGCCGCCAUCAUCUUCCACACCAACACCAUCCAUGGCCGAUCCCCAUCUGCAAUCACCACCUUCAAUCAAAAUCUUCUUACGUACUGGCUAAAACUACAACAGGAAUCAGAUAUCAAAGUCCCCAGUCCUCUCAAGGAAACUUAACUGUCUUAAUAUCGAAGGACCAAAAGCUCAAAAAGAAGUAGAAGAGCUCAAGCGGGCCUGCAUCAACGAGCGGGAUACAUUUGAGAGAAACCCUCCCCCUUCCCCAACCCAAGUCAAAAAAGAAUUAUUGCCGACAAAACAAACAAUCAAACCCACAGAAACUACUUAGGAAACAAAAAAAGGAACACAAGACCUCCCUGUUAAGUUCUUCAGUUGCUUUUUCUUCCUCUCGCUUUUUUUUAUAUUGCCCUUGUGGCUCCAAGAGGAUGUGGAUUCAUCUGAUGCUCUGUUGGUGGUUCAGAGCUCUUUCUUAGUUGUAUAUUUUGACAGGCUAAUCAUAUGUGUGCCGAUUCUGCAAAAAUUUAAAAUCACAAAUUGACUCCAGCAAAAAUGACCCAUCAUCAUGGGAAAAUUGAGAAAUAUUAAUUUGCCUACUUUACGCCCAAAUAAAAAAUUAAUCCCUAAAAUUCACAAAAUCUGCAUAUUUUAAAUCAAUUUUUUAAUUCUUAUUUCUUAGAUUUGGAUUUGUUGAAG